RNAcentral lists this ribosomal RNA (253 nucleotides) under uncultured bacterium. Its description in RNAcentral is "partial 16S ribosomal RNA". It matches the Rfam family "Bacterial small subunit ribosomal RNA", at positions 524 to 776 of the family's 1533-position model. The record is from RNAcentral.
UACGGGGGGGGCAAGCGUUGUUCGGAAUUACUGGGCGUAAAGGGCUCGUAGGCGGCCAACUAAGUCGGACGUGAAAUCCCCAGGCUCAACCUGGGAACUGCGUCUGAUACUGGAUGGCUUGAAUCCGGGAGAGGGAUGCAGAAUUCCAGGUGUAGCGGUGAAAUGCGUAGAUAUCGGGAGGAACACCAGUGGCGAAGGCGGCUGCCUGGGCCAGUUCUGACGCUGAGGCGCGAAAGCGUGGGGAGCAAACAGG